GUGCCAGCAGCCGCGGUAAUACAGAGGUCCCGAGCGUUGUUCGGAUUCACUGGGCGUAAAGGGUGCGUAGGUGGUAGGAUAAGUUUGGGGUGAAAGCUCCGGGCUCAACCCGGAAAUGGCCUCGAAGACUAUUCUGCUAGAGGAUCGGAGGGGAGACUGGAAUUCUCGGUGUAGCAGUGAAAUGCGUAGAUAUCGAGAGGAACACCAGUGGCGAAGGCGAGUCUCUUGACGAUUUCUGACACUGAGGCACGAAAGCCAGGGGAGCAAACGGGAUUAGAAACCCCCGUAGUCC
RNAcentral lists this ribosomal RNA (292 nucleotides) under uncultured bacterium. Its description in RNAcentral is "partial 16S ribosomal RNA". It matches the Rfam family "Bacterial small subunit ribosomal RNA", at positions 505 to 796 of the family's 1533-position model. The record is from RNAcentral.